Molecule: ribosomal RNA, 259 nt
Filed under: Klebsiella pneumoniae subsp. pneumoniae KPNIH7
Lineage: Bacteria; Pseudomonadati; Pseudomonadota; Gammaproteobacteria; Enterobacterales; Enterobacteriaceae
Description: partial 23S ribosomal RNA
Rfam family: Bacterial large subunit ribosomal RNA
Source: RNAcentral
GCUCCUAGUACGAGAGGACCGGAGUGGACGCAUCACUGGUGUUCGGGUUGUCAUGCCAAUGGCACUGCCCGGUAGCUAAAUGCGGAAGAGAUAAGUGCUGAAAGCAUCUAAGCACGAAACUUGCCCCGAGAUGAGUUCUCCCUGAGACUUUAAGUCUCCUGAAGGAACGUUGAAGACGACGACGUUGAUAGGCCGGGUGUGUAAGCGCAGCGAUGCGUUGAGCUAACCGGUACUAAUGAACCGUGAGGCUUAACCUUAC